RNAcentral lists this ribosomal RNA (283 nucleotides) under uncultured bacterium. RNAcentral's name for it is "partial 16S ribosomal RNA". It matches the Rfam family "Bacterial small subunit ribosomal RNA", at positions 773 to 1060 of the family's 1533-position model. The record is from RNAcentral.
GUGGAUUAGAUACCCGAGUAGUCCACGCAGUAAACGAUGAUAGCUCGUUGUCGGCGAUACACAGUCGGUGACUUAGAGAAAUCGAUAAGCUAUCCACCUGGGGAGUACGUUCGCAAGAAUGAAACUCAAAGGAAUUGACGGGGGCCCGCACAAGCGGAGGAACAUGUGGUUUAAUUCGAUGAUACGCGAGGAACCUUACCCGGGCUUGAAAGUUAUUGACUAUACUGGAAACAGUAUAUCCCUUCGGGGCAAGAAACUAGGUGCUGCACGGUCGUCGCCAGCU